UACGAAGGGGGCAAGCGUUGUUCGGAAUUACUGGGCGUAAAGGGCGCGUAGGCGGCUUAUCAAGUCAGGCGUGAAAUUCCCGGGCUCAACCUGGGGGCUGCGCUUGAUACUGAUUGGCUUGAAUGCGGGAGAGGAUAGUGGAAUUCCCAGUGUAGAGGUGAAAUUCGUAGAUAUUGGGAAGAACACCAAUGGCGAAGGCAGCACUCUGGGACGUGACUGACGCUGAGACGCGAAAGCGUGGGGAGCAAACAGG
This 253-nucleotide ribosomal RNA is filed under the name uncultured bacterium. Its description in RNAcentral is "partial 16S ribosomal RNA". It matches the Rfam family "Bacterial small subunit ribosomal RNA", at positions 524 to 776 of the family's 1533-position model. The record is from RNAcentral.